This 201-nucleotide long non-coding RNA is filed under the name Elaeis guineensis (African oil palm). RNAcentral's name for it is "long non-coding RNA (EGUI_LNC026824)". Lineage: Eukaryota; Viridiplantae; Streptophyta; Magnoliopsida; Arecales; Arecaceae. The record is from RNAcentral.
UGCGGACAAGUCACAGGCAAACGGAAAGAAAAAUAAAGAAAAGAUUCUUGAUGGACCAGGACGCCCUCCCUGUGGAGCAUGAUUGUUGUAGGACAUGCAUCAGUUACACAAACAAGCACGUUAUAGAUGAACUAGCAUUGUACACAUGCUAUACACGUGGAAAGAAAUUUUUAUUAUUUAAAAAAUUUUGAUGGCCGGCAG